RNAcentral lists this ribosomal RNA (485 nucleotides) under Vibrio sp. EF4A-B1045. Its description in RNAcentral is "bacterial SSU rRNA". It matches the Rfam family "Bacterial small subunit ribosomal RNA", at positions 1 to 474 of the family's 1533-position model. The record is from RNAcentral. Lineage: Bacteria; Pseudomonadati; Pseudomonadota; Gammaproteobacteria; Vibrionales; Vibrionaceae.
UUAGAGUUUGAUCCUGGCUCAGAUUGAACGCUGGCGGCAGGCCUAACACAUGCAAGUCGAGCGGAAACGAGUUAACUGAACCUUCGGGGAACGUUAACGGCGUCGAGCGGCGGACGGGUGAGUAAUGCCUGGGAAAUUGCCCUGAUGUGGGGGAUAACCAUUGGAAACGAUGGCUAAUACCGCAUAAUAGCUUCGGCUCAAAGAGGGGGACCUUCGGGCCUCUCGCGUCAGGAUAUGCCCAGGUGGGAUUAGCUAGUUGGUGAGGUAAGGGCUCACCAAGGCGACGAUCCCUAGCUGGUCUGAGAGGAUGAUCAGCCACACUGGAACUGAGACACGGUCCAGACUCCUACGGGAGGCAGCAGUGGGGAAUAUUGCACAAUGGGCGCAAGCCUGAUGCAGCCAUGCCGCGUGUAUGAAGAAGGCCUUCGGGUUGUAAAGUACUUUCAGCAGUGAGGAAGGUUCCAUACGUUAAUAGCGUAUGGAUU